AGGGAGUUGUAGUCUGUUGGUCACUUUGUGAAGAAGAAAGAGUCAGUGCUCUGAGGACCUGCCCACAAGAAACACCAAGAAGGUCUUGUGGACGUGUAUGAAGGAAAGAAACCUAAACAACAUAAUCCUGCUGAUCUUCAUUGCCUCCUAUUUACAUUAGGAAAAGAUGAAUUCCUUUGGUAGCUGAAACAGAAACAUCACAGAUGAAGCCAUGGAGGAGCAGAAGAGUUGGCACAGAUAAUCCAGAGGCAGUGACUGUAAGAAUAUCACAGCCAUGUGGGUAUGCUGCCAGUGUCUCAUUAGAUCCCAACACUCUUCCCCUGUUUCUGUGACCCCCCUGAUGCUCUGUUAUCACACAUUACUGGCUGUCAUGUCAUUCUGGAGGUCCUUGUAAAGGUGAUUUAAAGCACAGGGGGCAGUUGCCAGUUUUUAAACUGCUUGCCCAUUCCCCAGUUUUAACAAGCAGUUUUGAGGAAAGUAGAUGUAUUUUAUCUGUGAUGGUGAUGCUCCUUGUAGUUUUCUUAUUUCUAGCGAUAAGAUCUGAACUGUGCAUUUGUACUAAGAAAGAUGUUUAUAAUGGUUUUAGUAUUAUUUGUGCACUUCAGAGGCUUCUUAUUCUGACUGGAGACAACAUAUGCAUGUGUUAGGCUAUUCAAAUAAAUGAAUGUCUGGGCUGGAAUAGUCUGUGUAGGGAUGAAAAGGAGAGGAAGGUUAAAAGCUAAAUGAGAUCAUUCAGAAGAUUUACAAUCAGCUGUGAAAGCUGUUUCCCUGCACUAAAGCUAAUCAAGACAAUGAAUUUUCAUGUUUGUCUUGUACUGCAGAGGAAAUUGAAUCAGAUGUCUCCUGGGGAUUCUGUUAUUAUUUGGCAUUCACACACUGGCACCCACAUUUCUUCAGCUGCUGGCAGUGAGAGAACUUUGAUGCACGCACAGUAACUAGGCUUCUUACAAGAAAGUGAAAAAACAACAUUUCCCAGCAACCCCCGGUAUAUGUUACCUAAUGCAGAGAGAUCCAGCACUUAGAUAAUGAAUGGGUUCAUUCCCACCUGUUGGGUGG
Molecule: long non-coding RNA, 1056 nt
Organism: Zonotrichia leucophrys gambelii
Lineage: Eukaryota; Metazoa; Chordata; Aves; Passeriformes; Passerellidae
Exons: 3
Source: RefSeq, a predicted model, not a curated record